AGAGUUUGAUCCUGGCUCAGGAUGAACGCUGGCGGCGUGCUUAACACAUGCGAGUCGAACGAUCCUUCGGGAUAGUGGCGGACGGGUGAGUAACGCGUGGGAGUCUGCCCUCAGGAGGGGGAUAACGGCUGGAAACGGCCGCUAAUACCCCAUAUGCCGAGAGGUAAAAUGAAUUUCGCCUGAGGAUGAGCCCGCGUCUGAUUAGCUAGUUGGUGGGGUAAUGGCCUACCAAGGCAACGAUCAGUAGCUGGUCUGAGAGGAUGAUCAGCCACACUGGGACUGAGACACGGCCCAGACUCCUACGGGAGGCAGCAGUGGGGAAUUUUCCGCAAUGGGCGAAAGCCUGACGGAGCAACGCCGCGUGAGGGAUGAAGGCCUCUGGGCUGUAAACCUCUUUUCUCAAGGAAGAAGACCUGACGGUACUUGAGGAAUAAGCCACGGCUAAUUCCGUGCCAGCAGCCGCGGUAAUACGGGAGUGGCAAGCGUUAUCCGGAAUUAUUGGGCGUAAAGCGUCCGCAGGCGGCCUUGUAGUCUGUUGUUAAAGCGUGGAGCUCAACUCCAUUUAAGCAAUGGAAACUACAAGGCUGGAGUGUGGUAGGGGCAGAGGGAAUUCCCGGUGUAGCGGUGAAAUGCGUAGAUAUCGGGAAGAACACCAGUGGCGAAGGCGCUCUGCUGGGCCAUAACUGACGCUCAUGGACGAAAGCCAGGGGAGCGAAAGGGAUUAGAUACCCCUGUAGUCCUGGCCGUAAACGAUGAACACUAGGUGUCGGGGGAAUCGACCCCCUCGGUGUCGUAGCCAACGCGUUAAGUGUUCCGCCUGGGGAGUACGCACGCAAGUGUGAAACUCAAAGGAAUUGACGGGGGCCCGCACAAGCGGUGGAGUAUGUGGUUUAAUUCGAUGCAACGCGAAGAACCUUACCAGGGUUUGACAUCCUGCGAACCCCUGAGAAAUCGGGGGGUGCCUUCGGGAGCGCAGAGACAGGUGGUGCAUGGCUGUCGUCAGCUCGUGUCGUGAGAUGUUGGGUUAAGUCCCGCAACGAGCGCAACCCACGUCUUUAGUUGCCAGCAUUCAGUUGGGCACUCUAGAGAGACCGCCGGUGAUAAACCGGAGGAAGGUGUGGAUGACGUCAAGUCAUCAUGCCCCUUACAUCCUGGGCUACACACGUACUACAAUGCUACGGACAAAGGGCAGCAAGCUCGCGAGAGUUAGCAAAUCCCAUAAACCGUGGCUCAGUUCAGAUCGUAGGCUGCAACUCGCCUACGUGAAGGAGGAAUCGCUAGUAAUCGCAGGUCAGCAUACUGCGGUGAAUACGUUCCCGGGCCUUGUACACACCGCCCGUCACACCAUGGAAGUUGGCCAUGCCCGAAGUCGUUACUCCAACCCUUG
RNAcentral lists this ribosomal RNA (1387 nucleotides) under metagenome. RNAcentral describes it as "bacterial SSU rRNA". It matches the Rfam family "Bacterial small subunit ribosomal RNA". The record is from RNAcentral.